Molecule: ribosomal RNA, 244 nt
Filed under: uncultured bacterium
Lineage: Bacteria
Description: partial 16S ribosomal RNA
Rfam family: Bacterial small subunit ribosomal RNA
Source: RNAcentral
CGUGAGGCGGAGCAAAACACAAAACACAGUCUCAGUUCAGAUUGUAGGCUGAAACUCGCCUAUAUGAAGUCGGAAUUGCUAGUAAUCGCGGAUCAGCAUGCCGCGGUGAAUACGUUCCCGGGCCUUGUACACACCGCCCGUCACACCAUGAGAGUCGAUAACACCCGAAGCCUGUAGUCUAACAGCAAUGAGGACGCAGUCGAAGGUGGGAUUGAUAAUUAGGGUGAAGUCGUAACAAGGUAAC